Molecule: transfer RNA, 73 nt
Filed under: Candidatus Delongbacteria bacterium
Lineage: Bacteria; Candidatus Delongiibacteriota
Also listed under: 1 other name
Description: tRNA-Gly
Rfam family: tRNA
About the family: Transfer RNA (tRNA) molecules are approximately 80 nucleotides in length.
Source: RNAcentral
GCGGGAAUAGCUCAAUUGGUAGAGCAUCAGCCUUCCAAGCUGAGGGUCGCGAGUUCGAGCCUCGUUUCCCGCU